Molecule: ribosomal RNA, 455 nt
Filed under: Ruta graveolens (common rue)
Lineage: Eukaryota; Viridiplantae; Streptophyta; Magnoliopsida; Sapindales; Rutaceae
Description: eukaryotic LSU rRNA
Rfam family: Eukaryotic large subunit ribosomal RNA (bases 312-455)
Source: RNAcentral
AAUUGCAGAAUCCCGUGAACCAUCGAGUCUUUGAACGCAAGUUGCGCCCCAAGCCGUCAGGCCGAGGGCACGUCUGCCUGGGUGUCACGCAUCAUUGCCCCCACCCCUCCCCCUUCGGGGGGUGCGGACUGUGGGGGCGGACAAUGGCCUCCCGUUGGCUCUCUGCCUGCGGCUGGUUGAAAUUUGAGUCUCCGGCUGCACGAGCCGCGACAAUCGGUGGUGAAAACAAAGCCUCUCGAGUUCCUGUCGCGUGCAUGCGCUGCCCUGCGAGGGCUCAUGACCCAUGCGUUGUAUUUUUGGCGCUCGCUUUGCGACCCCAGGUCAGGCGGGAUUACCCGCUGAAUUUAAGCAUAUCAAUAAGCGGAGGAAAAGAAACUUACCAGGAUUCCCCUAGUAGCGGCGAGCGAACCGGGAAGAGCCCAGCUUGAGAAUCGGGUGCCCUCGGCAUCCGAAUU